RNAcentral lists this ribosomal RNA (1410 nucleotides) under Pirellulaceae bacterium. RNAcentral describes it as "partial 23S ribosomal RNA". It matches the Rfam family "Bacterial large subunit ribosomal RNA", at positions 1 to 1418 of the family's 2925-position model. Lineage: Bacteria; Pseudomonadati; Planctomycetota; Planctomycetia; Pirellulales; Pirellulaceae. The record is from RNAcentral.
UGUGGCCAAGUUACUAAGGGCACAUGGGGGAUGUCUUGGCGUCAGAAGCCGAUGAAGGGCGUGGAAGACUGCGAUAAGCCCGGGGUAGUUGUCAAACGAGCGUUGAUCCCGGGAUACCCGAAUUAACACACACUGAAUCCAUAGGUGUGUGUCGCCAACACGGUGAACCGAAACAUCCAAGUAACCGUUGGAAAAGAAAGAAAACUCGAUUUCCCCAGUAGCGGCGAGCGAAAAGGAAAGAGCCCAAACCGCGGGGGUUUUCCCCUGCGGGGUUGUAGGGCCUCUCACAUGAGAGUUACCAAGCUACCAGCUAGCAGAACUGUCUGGAAAGGCAGGCCAUAGACGGUGACAGCCCGGUAUGCGACAGUUGUGUAGCCUCUCGAGGGGUACCUGAGUAGGUCGGGCCACGUGGAAUCCCGACUGAAUCCGCGGGGACCAUCCCGCAAGGCUAAAUACUCUCUGACGACCGAUAGUGAACUCAGUAGGGCGACUGAAAGAUGGGAAGAACCCCUGCUAGGGGAGGAUACUGAACCUGAAACCAUGUGCCUACAAGCGGUCGGAGCACAGUACUCUUCGGAGUCGUGUGACGGCGUGCCUUUUGCAUAAUGAUCCGGCGAGUUACCGUCGUCGGCUUGGUUAAGGCCUUUCGGGCCGGAGCCAAAGGGAAACCGAGUCUUAAUAGGGCGAAUAUGUCGUUGGCGGUAGGCGCGAAUCUGCGUGAACUACCCAUGAGCAGGUUGAACCGCGGGUUAUACCGCGUGGAGGACCGAACCCACUUGGGUUGAAAACCGAGGGGAUGACUUGUGGGGAGGAGUGAAAGUCUAAUCAAACGCAGGGAUAGCUCGUUCUCUCCGAAAUAUUUUUAGGAAUAGCCUCGAGCCACUACGCACCGGGGGUAGAGAUACUGAAUCGGGUUGGGGGUCCUCCCAGACUACCCUCCUGAACCAAACUCCGAAUACCGGUGCGACUAUCUCAGGAGUCAGUCCGUGAGGGAUAAGCUUCGCGGACGAGAGGGAAACAACCCAGACCACCUGCUAAGGUCCCGAAGAUAUGCUUAGUCACUAAGGAAGUUGAAUUGCCGAGACAGCCAGGAUGUUGGCUUAGAAGCAGCCACCAUUUAAAAAGUGCGUAACAGCUUACUGGUCGAGCAACCCUGCGCCGAUAAUGAACGGGAGUAAGCCCGUCACCGAAGCAGUGGAUUGUCCGUAAGGACAGUGGUAGGAGAGCGCUGUAGAUCAGAUACAGGCCGUACCGUAAGGAGCGGUUGUGGGGUCUACAGGUGCUUAUGCCGGAAUGAGUAACGAUAAAGCAGGUGAGAAUCCUGCUCGCCGAAAGCCUAAGGUUUCCUGGGGAAGGUAAUUCCGCCCAGGGUUAGCCGGUACCUUAGUCGAGGCCGAAAGGCGUAGACGA